GAGGGUACAGCUCAGUGGCAGAGCAUAUGCCUGGCAUGCACAAGGUCCUGGGUUCAAUCCCAGUACCUCCA
RNAcentral lists this transfer RNA (71 nucleotides) under Camelus bactrianus (Bactrian camel). It matches the Rfam family "tRNA". Rfam says of the family: Transfer RNA (tRNA) molecules are approximately 80 nucleotides in length. RNAcentral also lists the same sequence under 2 other names. Lineage: Eukaryota; Metazoa; Chordata; Mammalia; Artiodactyla; Camelidae. The record is from Rfam by way of RNAcentral.